UCUUUAAACUAGGUUAUGAAUCUUUUAGUAGAAGUAGAAUUAGAUUUAAGAGUAAUAUUUUAAUUAUGUAUGAGAAAUAGAAAUUUUCACUGUGAUUCUCAUUUCUCAUAAGUAGUAGAAAAUUCUUAGAUUUGAAAAGUAAGGAUCAAUGUUUACAAGAAUUGCUCAAGUCUUUUCAGUAGUAGAAUGAUAGGAUUAUUUGGUCUUCCACCGCGUUGUAAUAAAAUAUGAAGAACAGGGGAUUAUGUGUGAAGUGGUAAUGUAGAUUCUAGGUUGAUGAGAUAGUUUUUAUGUAUACUUUGUUGAUAGUUAACCAACACUUAGAUGUGGCUCUGAUUCCCUAAUCGUUUAGGGAUACGUAGGACCAGGGAUCCUCCCUGUCGAGCUAUAAUUUUAGUAACUCUACAUUUUAAAUAAGUGUAUUUGUUAUAGUGUAUAGGUUAUAUAGCUAGUGUAUUAGGCUUGCACGGGCUGAAUAUAUGAUGAGUUAGUGUUAGCCUGUGCGCCGGUCAUGAUCUGAGAUUGGGUCGUGACAGUAGUUUUUAUAAACUAAUUAUUCUGGUUUUUAUCGGUGCAAUUGAAUUUACAGCUAGAUAAUGUCUGAACUUAAAAUCGAAUCUAUUUGGACUGGAAUUCGGUAUAUGUUACAAAACGUUCGUAAUGUUUGUUGAAUUUGAGUCUCUAACCUUCUUUUUUCUUUGUAAUACCUGUACUUCUGCAUAAUAAUAAUAAUUAUAAUCUUACAAAACUUAACUGUUUUAGAAUGAUAAACUUAAGAUUUAAUUGCCAAGACUUGAAUUGUACACAACAGGUACAAGCUUGGCGCUUAAGUGAUGCAAGCUGAUAAUUACUUAAAUUGUUCUUGUGGCUACAUUAAAUUAUUGUGUAAUGUGUAUUUUAGAACCUUAAAGAGAAGUAUUGAAAACUUUCAAAGUGUUUGGUUACUAGGAACAAGGCUUAGAGUUUAGAACUUGAAUGAUUUGUAGAAAGCAAGCAUGAUUCUGUUUUCAAUAUAAUUACUGAUUUUUCAGUUUUGGAUGAGUAUUUAUCCUUAAUUUUGGUAUAUAUUAUUUAUGGAAGGCCAAAUGCAUUCAGAGGUCCUUUAAGUUUUACGUUUGUAACAGAUAUGUCCUUUAAAUUUUGUAGGUAACAAAUAGGUCCUUUAAGUUUCUAAUUUAUUGCACCGUUACCGUUCAAUUUAUUCUCCGUUACAAAACACUGAAGUAACUUAGCGAGAUGGUAGUGAACACUACGUUUUGGCUUCCAAAUAACAAGAAGCAGUGUUUUAGUGCCAUCUUACUAAGUUAACGGUUAUGUCAGCGCUUUUGUAACGGGGGCUGGAAGUGUAACGAUGCAAUAAAUUAUAAACUUAAAAGGACCUAUUUGUUACCUAAAAAACUUAAAGGACCUAUUUGUUACUUAAUAAACUUAAAUGACCACCCACUUGGGGUGGUCUAGUGGUGUUGGCUUUGGACCUAUUCUCCUGAUGUUUUCACUUAUAGUACUUUAAUUAGUGGUUUUUGCAUUGUCGGUAAAUUGAAAGAAGCAAUUGAUUUGUUUAACAAAAUGGUUCUGGAAAACAUCAACCCGAAUAUGUAUACCUUUAAUAUACUGGUUGAUGCUUUUCUAAACGCUGCAAACUUAUGAAAUAAUUAUCUGUUCUCUGUUUAAUAAAGAUGAAAAUGAUAAGGCAGAGAAACUUCUACGUGAAAUUGUCGCGAAAGGUCUACUGUAAGAUUGAAACUAGGUAAAAUGGUUCUUUUGUUACACAUUGUUAUUUUGAUUUUAUAUUUCAAUUUUUUGGUUAUGACCUUUGGUAGGAUCUUACAGCACUGUCCCUUUGCUAAGAUUCAUUUUAUAAUUGUACCUGGAGUCAGGACCGUUCUCAAAUGUAACUUACCAGAUUCUGGGAAGGUACAAUCUAUCAUCAGCGCCGCCAACCCGUUCACCACUCCUUUCAACACCAAGUUCGCUACGCGCUUAUUGAUCUUGACCGUACACCUCACGCGCCACCCAAUCAUCUUUCUCCUGAUGAAGCUCGUCAAAUUACUGAUACCAAUGGACCCAUGUAAUUUAAAUUCUUUAUUCUUUACAUCAGGAAUUAAUAAUGGCAUUAUAUCAGGAAUUAAAGUACUAUAAGGAACUUUGGUAGGUUUUAUAUCAGGAAUUAAUAAUGGCAUUACGGAGAAACUUUUCGCUACUAUAGAAAGUGAAUUGGGACAGUGCUGGUUUAAGUGAAACUUUGACUUUGUGAUUUCUCAAGUAAGUUAUCAAUAUUUUUUGCCA
Long non-coding RNA from Trifolium pratense (red clover), 2286 nucleotides. RefSeq lists it as uncharacterized. The transcript is spliced from 2 exons. The record is from RefSeq and is a predicted model, not a curated record. NCBI's taxonomy places the organism in Eukaryota, Viridiplantae, Streptophyta, Magnoliopsida, Fabales, Fabaceae.